This 487-nucleotide ribosomal RNA is filed under the name Streptococcus suis. RNAcentral describes it as "bacterial SSU rRNA". It matches the Rfam family "Bacterial small subunit ribosomal RNA", at positions 9 to 469 of the family's 1533-position model. Lineage: Bacteria; Bacillati; Bacillota; Bacilli; Lactobacillales; Streptococcaceae. The record is from RNAcentral.
GAGUUUGAUUAUGGCUCAGGACGAACGCUGGCGGCGUGCCUAAUACAUGCAAGUGGAACGCAUCUUCUCUCCCGUUUCUUCGGAAACACCUGAGAAGAUGAGUCGCGAACGGGUGAGUAACGCGUAGGUAACCUGCCUCAUAGCGGGGGAUAACUAUUGGAAACGAUAGCUAAUACCGCAUAACAGUAUUUAUCGCAUGAUAGAUGCUUGAAAGGAGCAACUGCUUCACUAUGAGAUGGACCUGCGUUGUAUUAGCUAGUUGGUGGGGUAACGGCUCACCAAGGCGACGAUACAUAGCCGACCUGAGAGGGUGAUCGGCCACACUGGGACUGAGACACGGCCCAGACUCCUACGGGAGGCAGCAGUAGGGAAUCUUCGGCAAUGGGGGCAACCCUGACCGAGCAACGCUGCGUGAGUGAAGAAGGUUUUCGGAUCGUAAAGCUCUGUUGUAAGAGAAGAAUGUGUGUGGGAGUGGAAAAUUCCAUGC